This 884-nucleotide ribosomal RNA is filed under the name uncultured bacterium. RNAcentral's name for it is "bacterial SSU rRNA". It matches the Rfam family "Bacterial small subunit ribosomal RNA", at positions 495 to 1379 of the family's 1533-position model. The record is from RNAcentral.
GGCUAANUACGUGCCAGCAGCCGCGGUAAUACGUAGNUCCCGAGCGUUAUCCGGAUUUAUUGGGCGUAAAGCGAGCGCAGGCGGUUAGAUAAGUCUGAAGUUAAAGGCUGUGGCUUAACCAUAGUACGCUUUGGAAACUGUUUAACUNGAGUGCAGAAGGGGAGAGUGGAAUUCCAUGUGUAGCGGUGAAAUGCGUAGAUAUAUGGAGGAACACCGGUGGCGAAAGCGGCUCUCUGGUCUGUAACUGACGCUGAGGCUCGAAAGCGCGGGGAGCAAACAGGAUUAGAUACCNUGGUAGUCCACGCCGUAAACGAUGAGUGCUAGGUGUUGGGUCCUCUCCGGGACUCAGUGCCGCAGCUAACGCAUUAAGCACUCCGCCUGGGGAGUACGACCGCAAGGUUGAAACUCAAAGGAAUUGACGGGGGCCCGCACAAGCGGUGGAGCAUGUGGUUUAAUUCGAAGCAACGCGAAGAACCUUACCAGGUCUUGACAUCCCUCUGACCGCUCUAGAGAUAGAGUUUUCCUUCGGGACAGAGGUGACAGGUGGUGCAUGGUUGUCGUCAGCUCGUGUCGUGAGAUGUUGGGNNAANNNNNNNCAACGAGCGCAACCCCUAUUGUUAGUUGCCAUCAUUCAGUUGGGCACUCUAGCGAGACUGCCGGUAAUAAACCGGAGGAAGGUGGGGAUGACAUCAAAUCAUCAUGCCCCUUAUGACCUGGGCUACACACGUGCUACAAUGGCUGGUACAACGAGUCGCGAGUCGGUGACGGCAAGCUAAUCUCUUAAAGCCAGUCUCAGUUCGGAUUGUAGGCUGCAACUCGCCUACAUGAAGUCGGAAUCGCUAGUAAUCGCGGAUCAGCACGCCGCGGUGAAUACGUUCCCGGGC